GGCCUGAUAGUUCAGUGGUAGAAUUCUUGCUUUGGGUUGACAUUGCUCAAUUGUAAGAGGUCUCCGGUUCGAUCCCGGAUUAGGCCC
Molecule: non-coding RNA, 87 nt
Organism: Tricladium varicosporioides
Lineage: Eukaryota; Fungi; Ascomycota; Leotiomycetes; Helotiales; Tricladiaceae
Source: the annotation of a GenBank genome assembly